ACAUACGACCAUAGACUCAAGAGAAUUGGGCAUCCCGUCCUCUCUGCCAUACACAAGCUUGAGAUCGGUGGAUUAGUAGUUGGGUGGGUGACCACCAGCGAAUACCCACUGUUGUAUGUU
This is a ribosomal RNA of Pseudogymnoascus pannorum, 120 nucleotides long. The record is from Rfam. NCBI's taxonomy places the organism in Eukaryota, Fungi, Ascomycota, Leotiomycetes, Thelebolales, Thelebolaceae.